UACGUAGGGCGCAAGCGUUGUCCGGAAUUAUUGGGCGUAAAGAGCUCGUAGGCGGCCUGUCGCGUCUGCUGUGAAAUCCCGGGGCUUAACCCCGGGCGUGCAGUGGAUACGGGCUGGCUGGAGGCAGGCAGGGGAGAAUGGAAUUCCCGGUGUAGCGGUGAAAUGCGCAGAUAUCGGGAGGAACACCGGUGGCGAAGGCGGUUCUCUGGGCCUUACCUGACGCUGAGGAGCGAAAGCGUGGGGAGCGAACAGG
RNAcentral lists this ribosomal RNA (253 nucleotides) under uncultured bacterium. RNAcentral describes it as "partial 16S ribosomal RNA". It matches the Rfam family "Bacterial small subunit ribosomal RNA", at positions 524 to 776 of the family's 1533-position model. The record is from RNAcentral.